UCGACGGCAGCGCGGACUUCGGUCUGGCGGCGAGUGGCGAACGGGUGAGUAACAUAUCGGAACGUGCCAGGAAGUGGGGGAUAACUAGUCGAAAGAUUAGCUAAUACCGCAUACGCCCCAAGGGGGAAAGUGGGGGAUCGCAAGACCUCACGCUUUUUGAGCGGCCGAUAUCUGAUUAGCUAGUUGGUAGGGUAAAAGCCUACCAAGGCGACGAUCAGUAGCUGGUCUGAGAGGACGACCAGCCACACUGGGACUGAGACACGGCCCAGACUCCUACGGGAGGCAGCAGUGGGGAAUUUUGGACAAUGGGGGCAACCCUGAUCCAGCAAUGCCGCGUGAGUGAAGAAGGCCUUCGGGUUGUAAAGCUCUUUUGUCCGGGAAGAAAUCCCAUCUGUUAAUACCGGGUGGGGAUGACGGUACUGGAAGAAUAAGCACCGGCUAACUACGUGCCAGCAGCCGCGGUAAUACGUAGGGUGCAAGCGUUAAUCGGAAUUACUGGGCGUAAAGCGUGCGCAGGCGGUUGUGCAAGACCGAUGUGAAAUCCCCGGGCUUAACCUGGGAACUGCAUUGGUGACUGCACGGCUAGAGUGUGUCAGAGGGGGGUAGAAUUCCACGUGUAGCAGUGAAAUGCGUAGAGAUGUGGAGGAAUACCGAUGGC
This 658-nucleotide ribosomal RNA is filed under the name uncultured bacterium. RNAcentral's name for it is "bacterial SSU rRNA". It matches the Rfam family "Bacterial small subunit ribosomal RNA", at positions 62 to 716 of the family's 1533-position model. The record is from RNAcentral.